Molecule: ribosomal RNA, 424 nt
Filed under: uncultured bacterium
Lineage: Bacteria
Description: bacterial SSU rRNA
Rfam family: Bacterial small subunit ribosomal RNA
Source: RNAcentral
GGGCCCGCACAAGCGGUGGAGCAUGUGGUUUAAUUCGAUGAUACGCGAGGAACCUUACCAGGGCUUAAAUGUAGGUUGCAUGAUCUAGAGAUAGAUCUUUCUUCGGACUACCUACAAGGUGCUGCAUGGUUGUCGUCAGCUCGUGCCGUGAGGUGUCAGGUUAAGUCCUAUAACGAGCGCAACCCCUAUCGUUAGUUGCCAGCGGGUAAUGCCGGGAACUCUAGCGAAACUGCCGGUGCAAACCGAGAGGAAGGUGGGGAUGACGUCAAAUCAUCACGGCCCUUACGUCCUGGGCUACACACGUGCUACAAUGGCCGGUACAGAGAGCAGCCACUACGCGAGUAGGAGCGAAUCUAUAAAACCGAUCUCAGUUCGGAUCGCAGUCUGCAACUCGACUGCGUGAAGCUGGAAUCGCUAGUAAUCG